GAUGAACGCUGGCGGCGUGCUUAACACAUGCAAGUCGAACGGUGAAGGCGGAGCUUGCUCUGCUGGAUCAGUGGCGAACGGGUGAGUAACACGUGAGCAAUCUGCCCCUGACUCUGGGAUAAGCGCUGGAAACGGCGUCUAAUACUGGAUACGAGCUGCGAAGGCAUCUUCAGCAGCUGGAAAGAACUUCGGUCAGGGAUGAGCUCGCGGCCUAUCAGCUUGUUGGUGAGGUAACGGCUCACCAAGGCGUCGACGGGUAGCCGGCCUGAGAGGCUGACCGGCCACACUGGGACUGAGACACGGCCCAGACUCCUACGGGAGGCAGCAGUGGGGAAUAUUGCACAAUGGGCGAAAGCCUGAUGCAGCAACGCCGCGUGAGGGACGACGGCCUUCGGGUUGUAAACCUCUUUUAGCAGGGAAGAAGCGAAAGUGACGGUACCUGCAGAAAAAGCGCCGGCUAACUACGUG
This 468-nucleotide ribosomal RNA is filed under the name uncultured bacterium. RNAcentral's name for it is "partial 16S ribosomal RNA". It matches the Rfam family "Bacterial small subunit ribosomal RNA", at positions 28 to 507 of the family's 1533-position model. The record is from RNAcentral.